AGUUUUAUAUUCACUAAGUGAUAGUAGAAUGCAAUUCUGCAGGGGUAAAUUGGAAUUUACUAAGACUU
RNAcentral lists this transfer RNA (68 nucleotides) under Phyllodromica sp. Phil. RNAcentral describes it as "tRNA-Cys". The record is from RNAcentral. Lineage: Eukaryota; Metazoa; Arthropoda; Insecta; Blattodea; Ectobiidae.